This 460-nucleotide ribosomal RNA is filed under the name uncultured bacterium. Its description in RNAcentral is "partial 16S ribosomal RNA". It matches the Rfam family "Bacterial small subunit ribosomal RNA", at positions 338 to 795 of the family's 1533-position model. The record is from RNAcentral.
CCUACGGGAGGCAGCAGUGAGGAAUAUUGGUCAAUGGGCGCGAGCCUGAACCAGCCAAGUCGCGUGAAGGAUGACGGCCCUACGGGUUGUAAACUUCUUUUAUAAGGGAAUAAAGUGAGGCACGUGUGCCGUUUUGUAUGUACUUUAUGAAUAAGGAUCGGCUAACUCCGUGCCAGCAGCCGCGGUAAUACGGAGGAUCCGAGCGUUAUCCGGAUUUAUUGGGUUUAAAGGGAGCGUAGGUGGGUUUUUAAGUCAGUUGUGAAAGUUUGCGGCUCAACCGUAAAAUUGCAAUUGAUACUGGGAGUCUUGAGUAUAGUUGAGGUAGGCGGAAUGCGUGGUGUAGCGGUGAAAUGCUUAGAUAUCACGAAGAACUCCGAUUGCGAAGGCAGCUUACUAAACCGUCACUGACACUGAUGCUCGAAAGUGUGGGGAUCAAACAGGAUUAGAUACCCCUGUAGUC